Setaria italica (foxtail millet) is the source of this 855-nucleotide long non-coding RNA. RefSeq lists it as uncharacterized. The record is from RefSeq and is a predicted model, not a curated record. NCBI's taxonomy places the organism in Eukaryota, Viridiplantae, Streptophyta, Magnoliopsida, Poales, Poaceae. The transcript is spliced from 3 exons.
CCCUCGCCUUUCCUUUCCUUCCUCGCUCGGACGACGCCUCCACCGCCGCUAUCGUCCCUGGUCGAUCUCUUUAUCUUCGCACCAAAAUUGGCUGCGCCAUUCUCAUCUCCACCCCUGUCCCAUCCCCUACACCCCCCUCCACAUUCCCUAAUCCCUAGCCCAUAGAUUGCGGCGGUGGCCAAGGCCAAUGAGGAUGAGGGCAUUGGCCGCCACCCUCAUUUGCAUCGGCAGAAGCGGACCACAUCCCUUGGCGGAGGUGGUGGUCAUGGCGAAUGUGGAUGCGGCAGGUCUUCCUCCCCAUCCACAUCGUAUCCCUAGCCCAGCCCGCCUCUGGGAUCCAUCUGCAUGGAGACUUCUCCGGCAAAAAAAGGUGCGCCCCGCUCCUCAUUCGAUCCAAUCACUGAGUCCCUACCCAUUCUUGUCGCUCGAUUUCGUUCCCAAGCCCCCUCUAUUGCACUCUGUGCCUGCAUGGGAUUAAACAUUGCCACUCCUCCAGCCCAACAAUUUGUUGCUGCAGGUGUUUGAUAAAAUGCCUAUGACCAAACAAUGAUCAGAUUUGCUACACUCUCCUGCAAGUUCUGUGAGUUAUUGAGCUAAUACACGAGUCAGAAGACAUAAUGUAAAUUCGAUAUGUAAAGCAGGGUGGGGUUGCUCAAGAAAACAAGACUUCCACUCUGGGAUAGAUUUAUAUUUGGAGACUGGAUUUCAGCAUCACCGAGAUCAAGACCGGUAACUCAACAAGACUGGCGAUGGCAAUUGUUUGUGCAGCAGGCGCGGGUUCAGGAUCUAUGCAACUGGUGCAGAGAAAAAUAUUUUACCAAAUUAUGGGACAUUGGAUGCCAUUAAGUUUUGUAA